CAUGCUGUGAGCUCGAUGAGUAGGGCGGGACACGUGGUAUCCUGUCUGAAUAUGGGGGGACCAUCCUCCAAGGCUAAAUACUCCUGACUGACCGAUAGUGAACCAGUACCGUGAGGGAAAGGCGAAAAGAACCCCGGCGAGGGGAGUGAAAAAGAACCUGAAACCGUGUACGUACAAGCAGUGGGAGCACGCUUAGGCGUGUGACUGCGUACCUUUUGUAUAAUGGGUCAGCGACUUAUAUUCUGUAGCAAGGUUAACCGAAUAGGGGAGCCGAAGGGAAACCGAGUCUUAACUGGGCGUUAAGUUGCAGGGUAUAGACCCGAAACCCGGUGAUCUAGCCAUGGGCAGGUUGAAGGUUGGGUAACACUAACUGGAGGACCGAACCGACUAAUGUUGAAAAAUUAGCGGAUGACUUGUGGCUGGGGGUGAAAGGCCAAUCAAACCGGGAGAUAGCUGGUUCUCCCCGAAAGCU
Molecule: ribosomal RNA, 472 nt
Filed under: Escherichia coli
Lineage: Bacteria; Pseudomonadati; Pseudomonadota; Gammaproteobacteria; Enterobacterales; Enterobacteriaceae
Description: partial 23S ribosomal RNA
Rfam family: Bacterial large subunit ribosomal RNA
Source: RNAcentral